This 497-nucleotide ribosomal RNA is filed under the name uncultured bacterium. RNAcentral's name for it is "partial 16S ribosomal RNA". It matches the Rfam family "Bacterial small subunit ribosomal RNA", at positions 28 to 507 of the family's 1533-position model. The record is from RNAcentral.
GAUGAACGCUGGCGGCGUGCCUAAUACAUGCAAGUCGAGCGAACAGACGAGGAGCUUGCUCCUCUGACGUUAGCGGCGGACGGGUGAGUAACACGUGGAUAACCUACCUAUAAGCCUGGGAUAACUUCGGGAAACCGGAGCUAAUACCGGAUAAUAUAUUGAACCGCAUGGUUCAAUAGUGAAAGACGGUUUUGCUGUCACUUAUAGAUGGAUCCGCGCCGCAUUAGCUAGUUGGUAAGGUAACGGCUUACCAAGGCGACGAUGCGUAGCCGACCUGAGAGGGUGAUCGGCCACACUGGAACGGAGACACGGUCCAGACUCCUACGGGAGGCAGCAGUAGGGAAUCUUCCGCAAUGGGCGAAAGCCUGACGGAGCAACGCCGCGUGAGUGAUGAAGGUCUUCGGAUCGUAAAACUCUGUUAUUAGGGAAGAACAAAUGUGUAAGUAACUAUGCACGUCUUGACGGUACCUAAUCAGAAAGCCACGGCUAACUACGUG